RNAcentral lists this long non-coding RNA (213 nucleotides) under Elaeis guineensis (African oil palm). RNAcentral's name for it is "long non-coding RNA (EGUI_LNC059914)". The record is from RNAcentral. Lineage: Eukaryota; Viridiplantae; Streptophyta; Magnoliopsida; Arecales; Arecaceae.
CUAGGAGAGAAAAGAAGAAAAAGGUGCAGAAAUCCCGUGCCAUCGAUCCUAAGCAAAGCAAAUCAUUAAAAGUUGAUAAGAGCCAGGCAGAGUACUUUUUUUACAAGAAGCUGGGUCAUUGAAAAAGGAAUUGUCCUACUUAUAUAGCCGCCCUUGACCCAAAUAGGCCUAAAAAUAAGAAAAAGAAGCAAACGGUUGCUUUGGAAGAUACUU